UUCUGAUAAUGGACAUAGCG
RNAcentral lists this non-coding RNA (20 nucleotides) under Arabidopsis thaliana (thale cress). Lineage: Eukaryota; Viridiplantae; Streptophyta; Magnoliopsida; Brassicales; Brassicaceae. The record is from RNAcentral.